AUUGAACGCUGGCGGCAGGCCUAACACAUGCAAGUCGAACGAGUGGCGGACGGGUGAGUAAUGUCUGGGAAACUGCCUGAUGGAGGGGGAUAACUACUGGAAACGGUAGCUAAUACCGCAUACCAUCAGAUGUGCCCAGAUGGGAUGAGCUUGUUGGUGGGGUAACGGCGCACCAAGGCCACGAUCCCUAGCUGGUCUGCGAGGGGGACCAGCCACACUGGAACUGGGACACGGUCCAGACGCCUACGGAGGGCAGCAGUGGGGAAUAUUGCACAAUGGGCGAAAGCCUGAUGCAGCCAUGCCGCUUGUAUGAAGAAGGCCUUCGGGUUGUAAAGUACUUUCAGCGGGGAGGCGUUACCCGCAGAAGAAGCACCGGCUAACUCCGUGCCAGCAGCCGCGGUAAUAC
This 406-nucleotide ribosomal RNA is filed under the name uncultured bacterium. RNAcentral describes it as "partial 16S ribosomal RNA". It matches the Rfam family "Bacterial small subunit ribosomal RNA", at positions 30 to 526 of the family's 1533-position model. The record is from RNAcentral.